This is a long non-coding RNA of Gorilla gorilla gorilla (western lowland gorilla), 857 nucleotides long. RefSeq lists it as uncharacterized. The transcript has 3 exons. Lineage: Eukaryota; Metazoa; Chordata; Mammalia; Primates; Hominidae. The record is from RefSeq and is a predicted model, not a curated record.
UCUGUGGUCUAAGCUAGGCUGCUGCCCCCUCUCGUUUACACAAGUAGGAAGAGGAAAGAGAACCUGGAGGAGGUAUGGCACACAUGGCCUCUGCUUACAUAUCAGAGAACUCAGUGUCCUGGCCACAGUCAAAUACAACAGAGGCCAGGAAAGGUUGUGUAUCUCGGCUAACACAUGUCCAGCUACAAGUUUCUAUUACAGCUGAUGAAAGAGACAACUAGCGGGCUCUGUACAUUGAUUCAAUCCUGUCUGAGGAUGACCAUAUGGAAGCAUAAGGAGAGGAGACAAGUGAGUCAGACAGUGGCCAAGUUUCUGAUUUGGGAUACCAUUCACAAACAUGGGGAGAAGAAAAAGUAGAAGACAUUUGGAAGAAGAAAAAACAUUGCAAUUGGACAAGUUGACUUUGAGAUUCCUAUGAGCAGGGGUAUACUGACAAACCUGCUCUCCCAAAAAAUCCUGUUUAUAGCCUUUGAUGAUUUCCACGAUCCAAAUGUACCCAUCAUGGCCUAUUUCAAGCUACCAAGAUGAUGUCACUGAAUGAGCAGUUGGAAAGAAAUGUGCAUGAAUAGGCUUUCAUAAGCCAGCAAAGGCUGGGUUCAGCUCACCUCUACCAGUGAGGAUUUCCAAAUGGAGGUAUCUUAAAGACACUGGGAUAUGCAGAGCUCAAGCUAAGGAGUAGAAUCUAGUGCAUUCUGUGCUACCUGACACCUAUUGGGGUCCUGGAAGGAGGAAGCAACAAUCCUGAGUGAAACCUCGACAAGAAGUAUCCAAUAGGUAGACAAAGGGAUUGGGGGUAUGAGUUGUUAGUUAGCAGAGGGAAAGAAGAGAGUGACUCACAAAAGGAGAACAAAAUUUUG